CGCGUAGGCGGCCGCGCAAGUCGGACGUGAAAUCCCUCGGCUCAACCGAGGAACUGCGUCCGAAACUGCACGGCUUGAGUCCCGGAGAGGGUAGCGGAAUUCCCAGUGUAGCGGUGAAAUGCGUAGAUAUUGGGAGGAACACCCGUGGCGAAGGCGGCUACCUGGACGGGUACUGACGCUGAGGCGCGAAAGCUAGGGGAGCAAACA
RNAcentral lists this ribosomal RNA (207 nucleotides) under uncultured bacterium. Its description in RNAcentral is "partial 16S ribosomal RNA". It matches the Rfam family "Bacterial small subunit ribosomal RNA", at positions 568 to 774 of the family's 1533-position model. The record is from RNAcentral.